GAUGAACGCUGGCGGCGUGCCUAAUACAUGCAAGUCGAGCGAACAGACGAGGAGCUUGCUCCUCUGACGUUAGCGGCGGACGGGUGAGUAACACGUGGAUAACCUACCUAUAAGACUGGGAUAACUUCGGGAAACCGGAUCUAAUACCGGAUAAUAUAUUGAACCGCAUGGUUCAAUAGUGAAAGACGGUUUUGCUGUCACUUAUAGAUGGAUCCGCGCCGCAUUAGCUAGUUGGUAAGGUAACGGCUUACCAAGGCAACGAUGCGUAGCCGACCUGAGAGGAUGAUCAGCCACACUGGAACUGAGACACGGUCCAGACUCCUACGGGAGGCAGCAGUAGGGAAUCUUCCGCAAUGGGCGAAAGCCUGACGGAGCAACGCCGCGUGAGUGAUGAAGGUCUUCGGAUCGUAAAACUCUGUUAGUAGGGAAGAACAAAUGUGUAAGUAACUAUGCACGUCUUGACAGUACCUAAUCAGAAAGCCACGGCUAACUACGUG
This 497-nucleotide ribosomal RNA is filed under the name uncultured bacterium. RNAcentral describes it as "partial 16S ribosomal RNA". It matches the Rfam family "Bacterial small subunit ribosomal RNA", at positions 28 to 507 of the family's 1533-position model. The record is from RNAcentral.